CGGUGAGAUGUCAGGUGGGGUUGUAGGUGGGGGCKCUUGCGUCCCUACCAGCCCUGCUUGUCGAGCCGCCUCCGGACCGAGGAACUGCUCACGCGCUUCGAGGCCACCCUCCUCUCGGGGUGAGUUCGACUGGGAGAGACUGGGCAACCGUGUCUCUCUGAACGCUUACUUUCGAUCAGCGCGGGGCUGGCCGGGCGCAUUCAGUGUGGGUUUGUGGCGAGUCUGUCGGCACUCCACCCGACCCGUCUUCGAAACACGGACUCAAGGUAGUCUAACAUGCGCGCGAGUCAUUGGGUGGUACGAAACCCAAAGGCGCAGUGAAAGCGAGGUCGGUCAAACGCCUAGGUGGGAUCUCGUCCCCUGAAGCUCUCUCCGAGGGUCAUUGGGGGGCGGCGCACCACCGGCCCGUCCCGUCUGCGUCGGCAGUGGGGCGGAGCAAGAGCGCGCACGCUGG
Molecule: ribosomal RNA, 454 nt
Filed under: Eupulmonata sp. NZAC03013294
Lineage: Eukaryota; Metazoa; Mollusca; Gastropoda
Description: partial 28S ribosomal RNA
Source: RNAcentral